GCCUGGCUGGCUCAGUGGGUAGAGCAUGUGACUCUUAAUUUCAAGGUCGUGAGUUCAAUCCCCACAUUAGAUG
Molecule: transfer RNA, 73 nt
Filed under: Felis catus (domestic cat)
Lineage: Eukaryota; Metazoa; Chordata; Mammalia; Carnivora; Felidae
Also listed under: 3 other names
Rfam family: tRNA
About the family: Transfer RNA (tRNA) molecules are approximately 80 nucleotides in length. Their secondary structure includes four short double-helical elements and three loops (D, anti-codon, and T loops).
Source: Rfam by way of RNAcentral